This is a small nucleolar RNA of Doryrhamphus excisus (bluestripe pipefish), 82 nucleotides long. RefSeq annotates it as small nucleolar RNA SNORD35. The record is from RefSeq and is a predicted model, not a curated record. NCBI's taxonomy places the organism in Eukaryota, Metazoa, Chordata, Actinopteri, Syngnathiformes, Syngnathidae.
UACAAAUGAUGUAUAUCACGAUGGUCUUCCAAGCCUACGAGGCUGUGACGACAAUGCCAGAUGGCAAAACUGAUGUGACAGU